RNAcentral lists this ribosomal RNA (468 nucleotides) under uncultured bacterium. RNAcentral's name for it is "partial 16S ribosomal RNA". It matches the Rfam family "Bacterial small subunit ribosomal RNA", at positions 28 to 507 of the family's 1533-position model. The record is from RNAcentral.
GAUGAACGCUGGCGGCGUGCUUAACACAUGCAAGUCGAACGGAAAGGCCCAAGCUUGCUUGGGUACUCGAGUGGCGAACGGGUGAGUAACACGUGGGUGAUCCGCCCUGCACUUCGGGAUAAGACUGGGAAACUGGGUCUAAUACUGGAUAGGACCACUUCAAGGACGGUGUGGAGGAAAGAUUUUUCGGUGUGGGAUGAGCUCGAGGUCUAUCAGCUUGUUGGUGGGGUAAUGGCCUACCAAGGCGUCGACGGGUAGCCGGCCUGAGAGGGUGUACGGCCACAUUAGAACUGAGAGACGGCCCAGACUCCUACGGGAUGCAGCAGUGGGGAAUAUUGCACAAUGGGCGCAAGCCUGAUGCAUCAACGCCGCGUGGGGGAUGACGGCCUUCGGGUUGUAAGCUCCUAUCGCUAGGGACGAAGCGUUUUUGUGACGGUACCUGGAGAAGAAGCACCGGCUAACUACGUG